This 3085-nucleotide unclassified non-coding RNA is filed under the name Melitaea cinxia (Glanville fritillary). Its description in RNAcentral is "misc RNA ENSMCXG00005002251.1". Lineage: Eukaryota; Metazoa; Arthropoda; Insecta; Lepidoptera; Nymphalidae. The record is from RNAcentral.
UGUAGGGGGACCUAGGUGGCCCAUAGUUUAAAAAACAUAAAAAACAACAAUAACACAAAAUAAUAAAAUAAUUUGGUAAAAUACAAUAGACAAUAAAAAAAAUUAGUAAAAUAACAUUUAAGAGACGUCACAAAGUAGGCAUGUUUUUUAAACUAUGAGCCACCUAGGUCCCCCUACGUUUUUUUAUACCACAGGUGCUCAAACUUUAUCAUAAUAAAUUCGAAUACACUAUUUUUCAUUUUUAAGUAUUUAAAAAAAAGAAAGUUGUGGCUAGAAAUAUUUUGUAAUGCGCGUUAGCAAGGCGGACUAUCCACGGCUAUUUCCAGAGAAAAUCAAUUCGUUAAUAUUGAAUUUGCAGCCAUAGUACUCAAAAGUUUGAACAAAGGUAUCGAAUUUCGUACUUAAUUUUUUUUUAAAUAAACCCUAGACCGUUGCAGAUAGUUUAAUUUUUUAUUUUUUUUCUGGGUUGGCCCUGUACCCCUCCACAAGCACCUGCGGGGUUAUCCAUUAAUUAUCGGAUAUCCUGUAUAUAAGAGAUUUCACCUAUAUAUUGACUCAUCACGAUCUCUGGAACCAUCAGGUUUAGAGACUUGAAAUUUGAUAGGAAUAUUCCUUUCGCCCACAAGAAGGGGUUGUGGGGGCGUUAACUAUGGAUAAUUCCCGCUUUUAAACUAUAUCUUUUAUCGACUCCAAACUUGGUAAGAAUGUCCUAUAUGUGAUGUAGAAAUGAUUGAUGAACGAAAUUUAUGAUAAUUCAUCCCAAAUAAGGAGUUAAUGUAUGUAACUGUAAUGUAUGAAAUGUAUGUAACUCCGAAACUACGGAACCAAUUUUUAACAAAUUUUGUAAGCAUCUGUAAUUUAUUUAAUUUGGGAGUUAGGUUAGUUUUUUAUCCCGAUUGGCCACCGGGCCUGUCUGGGUACGAGCCUCGAGGUUGCCCUCUUUACCCGGGCUUUCUUCUCUGGGGCUUUGCCUCCGGGAUCGUAUCCUUUCGGCCCUAUUGGGCCAGGGUCACAGUGCCCUUAGGGUCAUCCCUAAAAUAGAAAUAUUUAGUUAGGUUGAAUUUGAAAUGAACAAAAGAGAAUUUUAAGCUACAGAAAGAUUUUUUGGAAGGUAUGGUAGUUUUUAUUUCAAUUGUACCCGGUAGGUGGCGCUGCUAUCGGUAUUUUAUUCCGAAACUACUGAACCAAUUUUUAUCAAAUUUUGUAAGCAUUUGUAAGUUGGCCCAACUUGGGACAUAGAGUAGUUUUUAUCUCAAUUGGACCCGAUAGCUACCACUGCUAUCGGUAUGUAACUCCGAAACUACUGAACCAAUUUUUAUCAAAUUUUGCAAGCAUCUAUAAUUUGGUUCAGCUUGGGAAAUAGGGUAAUUUUAAUUUCAAUCAAACCCCAUAGGUGGCGCCGUUAUCGGUACUAACUUCAAAACUACUGAACCAAUUUUUAUCAAGUUUUUAAGCAUCUGUAAUUUGGACCAACUUGGGAAAUAGGAUAGUUUUUAUUUCGAUUGGACCCGGUAGGUGGUGUUGCUAUCGGUAUGUAACUCUGAAACUUCUGAACCAAAUUUUCAUCAAGUUUUAGAAGGAUCUAUAAUUCGGUCGACUUAGAAGGUAUGGUUGUUUUAUUUCAAUUGUACCCGGUAGGUGGCGCUGCUAUCGGUAUGUAACUCCGAAACUACUGAACCAAUUUUUAUCAAAUUUUGUAAGCAUCUGUAAGUUAGGCCAACUUGGGACAUAGGGUAGUUUUUAUCUCAAUUGGACCCGAUAGAUGGCGCUGCUAUCGGUAUGUAACUCCGAAACUACUGAACCAAUUUUUAUCUAGUUUUGUAAGCAUCUGUAAUUUGGUCUAACUUAGAAAAUAUGGUAGUUUUUAUCUCAAUUGGACCCGGUGGGUGGCACUGCUAUCGGUAUGUAACUUCGAAACUACUGAACCAAUUUUUAUCAAAUUUUUAAGCAUGUGUAAUUUGGUCCAAGUUGGGACAUAGGGUAGUUUUUGUCUCAAUUGGACCUGGUAGGUGGCGCUGCUAUCGGUAUGUAAGCUAUCAAACUUGGUUGCUGUUUUUCGGGCAGGACAACACUCGCCGGGUCCGCUAGUUUCAUAUAAAUUGAAUCCUACAGUUUAUCAUCAAAGUGUCAUAUGAGAGGGUAUAGUACACUGCAGAUGUAGACAGAGGGUAAAGUACACUAUAGAUGUAUCACAAUUAUUCAAACAAUGACAUAACAUAACUUGUUGAAAAUGUAAAGCAACAGAAUUGUAGUGUUGUAAACAUGGCAUGGCAUGUAUAGAUGGCUACGAUCCUAGUAACCUUAUUUUAUUUGAAAAUAUUCGUGUAUCAUUGUUUGUAAGACCUUUGUAAUGUCUAGAAAUCGUUAUCGCUCAUUUAAAAUAUUUGUCAAAUGCAUUGUUGAUAGUAAUUUAUAAUAAGCCUUUUCUCUUAUAUAAGCUUUAUGGUUUAACAUAUUCGAUUGUAAAUUAAAAAGCUAAUCAAAUGUUGUUAUUUUUACGAAGCUUACAUUAGUGAAAAGCCUUCCGACGAGUUUCCAGUACUUACCCUUGUCAACAGAGAUGUUAAUUAAGUAAUUAAUAAAUUACCAGAACUGAAGGAUUUUUCAUACAAGGAAUGUGGUCCUUGCUGAAAGAAAGAUUUCAGAAAAUCUUACCUACAGCAAAAUAAUUAUAUAUAUAUGGCCAAAGUUACGAUGCCCAAUAAGUUAUGUAACUGAUGUAAAUUUAUAGCUUUAAAGUACGCGUUUAGGUUAUGUAUAAAUAUUUUAAGAUUUGAAAGUGAUAAUAGACCUAUUGUAAAUUUACGAUCAGUGAUGUUGCUAUUAAAUCAUACUGUGUAUUAUAGAAAUGUAUAAAUAUAUACACAAUGUAUAUAUUCAAAUUUACAAUACUAUUUUUUCACGCAAACACACUUUAACUACUUAUCUAUAGAUAAACAAAUGGAACAUGUAACUAUAAUUAUAAUACAUCCUAAUUGUGUCCAAGAAAAGGAAGUAUUUUAUGUUAUUUUGAGGUAGAUGUGUUAAUUGUCUUUUCUAUGGCCAUGUACAUAGCGGAGAUAAAUAAAAGCAUAUUUCAAUUAAA